CUCACAGUGACUUCUUGUGAUGUUAACUCUAACAGUGUUGGCAUCACAAGAGGUCACUGUGAG
RNAcentral lists this microRNA precursor (63 nucleotides) under Marmota monax (woodchuck). The record is from RNAcentral. Lineage: Eukaryota; Metazoa; Chordata; Mammalia; Rodentia; Sciuridae.